RNAcentral lists this ribosomal RNA (279 nucleotides) under uncultured bacterium. RNAcentral's name for it is "partial 16S ribosomal RNA". It matches the Rfam family "Bacterial small subunit ribosomal RNA", at positions 506 to 784 of the family's 1533-position model. The record is from RNAcentral.
UGCCAGCCGCCGCGGUAAUACGUGGGGUGCAAACGUUGCUCGGAAUCAUUGGGCGUAAAGCGCGCGUAGGCGGCUUUUUAAGUCGGGUGUGAAAGCCCUGGGCUCAACCCAGGAAGUGCAUCCGAAACUGAAUCGCUAGAGUCUUAAAGAGGGUCGCGGAAUUCCCGGUGUAGAGGUGAAAUUCGUAGAUAUCGGGAGGAACACCAGUGGCGAAGGCGGCGACCUGGGUAAUGACUGACGCUGAGGUGCGAAAGCGUGGGGAGCAAACAGGAUUAGAUA